Molecule: long non-coding RNA, 543 nt
Organism: Arabidopsis thaliana (thale cress)
Lineage: Eukaryota; Viridiplantae; Streptophyta; Magnoliopsida; Brassicales; Brassicaceae
Product: other RNA
Exons: 1
Source: RefSeq
GUAGGAACUAGGAAGUGAUACUUGAAUAGAAUGAGCCGACCUAUGGAAUGGAUACUAAAUGACCUAAGAAGACCACAGAGGUAACAAUCAUCAAAAGUAGGAAGAAGGACGAAGGUAGGGGACCAUAAACAUAGUGUAAAUAAUAAUAGGAUACAUUUUCAUAUAAGACGUAUAGUAGCAGAAGCUUAUAACAAGCUUGGCUUUUGAGUAGAAAGAGACGUCAUAUAUUGCCAUAUCCUCGAAGAAUUGUCUUGAAAAAGGGGGUCUCACGGAGAUAGCACAACGAUAUGAUAUCGUCCCAAACCUAAGAAAACCUUAUUCAUUUUUACCCCUUCCUCCUUCUUGAGAGCUACAUCUUUAUAUGUACGUUGGUUAAUUUCUUUAGUUGACGUUUGAUCAUCAUAUUAGAUGUGAAGUAUGUUUUUUUUUUCUUAACGAAAAAAAAAAGAAAAGAAGUAUUUUUUCUCGCCAAGAGUGUCAAAGAAAAUAAGGAGUUGCUCAUAUAAAUAUGUUAAUGUCGGUUUGAGAGUGCUAAUUUUUUUG